Ictalurus punctatus (channel catfish) is the source of this 1668-nucleotide long non-coding RNA. NCBI's taxonomy places the organism in Eukaryota, Metazoa, Chordata, Actinopteri, Siluriformes, Ictaluridae. The record is from Ensembl.
CUUUCGCAUCGUCAUUACAUACAUGCCUAUGCAUGCAGGCCAGGCCAGAAAUAAGAGAAGCUGCUUCUCUCCCAGCUUCUCUCUCUCUAAAAGGCUUGCUGGAAGGCCACACGGACAAAAACACAGUGUGGAAGGAGAACAGGAGAAGAGGUGAAAAAGAGAAGUUUGUCGUUAGGUUGUCUAUGCGACGGACGCCCUGUUGGGACAACAGAUGUGCAUGAUGUCAUGCCAGAGGAGGGGUGGAGAGAUGCAGGGAGGAGCGAGAGACAUGAGGGUGGACAACGUUCCUCUUGGCACAGGGCAGAGAAGGAGAACGGUUGGUGAGGGGCAGGGAGUGGAUGGAGUUCCUAAACCUUGCAUCCCAUGGAGUGCAUGCUAAAUCCCUAACAUUCUGCAUUUAACAGUUUAGUGCAAUGAUGUGUGACACUGGUAGCACAAUAUGGCUUAGCAAUAUGCAGGCACCGAAAAAUCACUGCACUGUGUUUCAUAUGACCAGAAAUGAACUAUAAAAUCGGUACAAGAGUGCAGUAAUGAAGCAUAUGCUACACAAAACCCAGGCUCUCGUGAGGACAUGCUCCCAGAGCUCAGAGUUUGUGAUUUGAUUGUGUGACUUCAAUGCUAAACUUUCUGCCUCUGUCUCCUGACUCUCUCUCUCUCUCUGUCAGUGGCAUAAGAAGUCAAUUGUUCUUGUGGUAUGCAGUGACAAUGUCUGUUUGUGAUUGCACAGAGCCAGAGAGGGGGAGCAUCAUAUACAGAAAUUGUGGUUCUCUAUUCUAGGCCUAGGAGCUCUCAAUAAGGUCAUGCAGAGGUCAAAACGCUUUCUGUUGCAUACAAAAACAGUGUGUUUGUGCGUGCGUGUGUGUACAAUAUCAAUUGUGCCAGUCAUUAUUGACAAAAGAUCAAAUUUUGCUCAUUUGCUGCUUUAGCUCCAUAAACACACAUCAAAACCCUCCAUGUCAUUUUUCUCUUUAUUAUAAACAUGUAUGGUGCAAGGUACAGGCUUACGUUAAGGACUUCCAAAUUGUUUAUUCUUAUCAGGUGAACAAGCAGCAUGUCAAAACACAAAGAGUUGUACAUAUUGAACUUAAAGUAACUGUGCUGAAUGAAUUCCCCCAAAUUUUGUUGAAGACAAGCAAAACCUGUUUGGUCAAUGGUGCCAUCUGCUGCCACAUGUACUUGAUCCCACUGUCAGCCUGUCAGCCAGGCCAUGCACUGUGUUAUUCUCACACACUGCAGCUACAGUGACCUCUGUAUGAGGACACUGACUGGCUGGGUAAUCAUUUUCUAGUGGCCUUGAGUAACACCGGUGUGACAACCAUUGUCUCGACAACUGAAAAGAAUGGAAUUUGCUAUCUGAAAUAAAAGGCUUGAAUGGCCCUUAAGUGUGUAAAGAUAUGCAGCUUGCACAAAACACGUGUACCCGGGCAGGAUAUUUUAUUGUCUAUGAUAUUGUCAGUGUUGUUUGAUAUCCAAUUAAAUUGAGGCCUUAGAGGGAUGUAAAUGUAGUUACAAAUCUGAGAAUAAUCAACUUUUUUAUGUUCUGGUAAAAAAAAAAAAAAACCAUUAUUAUUAUUAAUAAUAAUAACUAAACAUUAUACAGUAAUUACUUCACAGUCCUCUGUGGGAGAAAGUAGAGUGUUUAUAAAAGUUACAAUAACAUGUAAAGAU